This 293-nucleotide ribosomal RNA is filed under the name uncultured bacterium. Its description in RNAcentral is "partial 16S ribosomal RNA". It matches the Rfam family "Bacterial small subunit ribosomal RNA", at positions 505 to 796 of the family's 1533-position model. The record is from RNAcentral.
GUGCCAGCCGCCGCGGUAAUACAGAGGGUGCGAGCGUUGUUCGGAAUUACUGGGCGUAAAGCGCGCGCAGGCGGGUCCUGUAAGUCGGAAGUGAAAUUUCGGAGCUCAACUCCGAAGCUGCUUCUGAUACUGCGGAUCUAGGGAUCGGUAGAGGUCGGUGGAAUUACAGGUGUAGCGGUGGAAUGCGUAGAUAUCUGUAAGAACACCCGUGGCGAAGGCGGCCGACUGGGCCGGAUCCGACGCUGAGGCGCGAAAGCGUGGGGAGCAAACAGGAUUAGAAACCCCCGUAGUCC